Molecule: small nuclear RNA, 24 nt
Filed under: Arabidopsis thaliana (thale cress)
Lineage: Eukaryota; Viridiplantae; Streptophyta; Magnoliopsida; Brassicales; Brassicaceae
Description: snRNA_13386
Source: RNAcentral
UUCCUCUACGCCUAGGACACCAGA